AGCGGCGGACGAGGUUAGUAACGCGUGGGAAUAUGCCCUUCUCUAAGGAAUAGCCACUGGAAACGGUGAGUAAUACCUUAUACGCCCUUCGGGGGAAAGAUUUAUCGNAGAAGGAUUAGCCCGCGUAAGAUUAGAUAGUUGGUGGGGUAAUGGCCUACCAAGUCUACGAUCUUUAGCUGGUUUUAGAGGAUGAUCAGCAACACUGGGACUGAGACACGGCCCAGACUCCUACGGGAGGCAGCAGUGGGGAAUCUUGGACAAUGGGCGCAAGCCUGAUCCAGCCAUGCCGCGUGAGUGAUGAAGGCCUUAGGGUCGUAAAGCUCUUUCGCCAGAGAUGAUAAUGACAGUAUCUGGUAAAGAAACCCCGGCUAACUCCGUGCCAGCAGCCGCGGUAAUACGGAGGGGGUUAGCGUUGUUCGGAAUUACUGGGCGUAAAGCGCACGUAGGCGGAUCAGAAAGUAAGGGGUGAAAUCCCAGGGCUCAACCCUGGAACUGCCUCUUAAACUCCUGGGCUUGAGUUCGAGAGAGGUGAGUGGAAUUCCGAGUGUANAGGUGAAAUUCGUANAUAUUCGGAGGAACACCAGUGGCGAAUGCGGCUCACUGGCUCGAUACUGACGCUGAGGUGCGAAAGUGUGGGGAGCAAACAGGAUUAGAUACC
RNAcentral lists this ribosomal RNA (658 nucleotides) under marine sponge bacterium LIQUIDt146. RNAcentral describes it as "bacterial SSU rRNA". It matches the Rfam family "Bacterial small subunit ribosomal RNA", at positions 94 to 786 of the family's 1533-position model. The record is from RNAcentral.